This 90-nucleotide transfer RNA is filed under the name Subtercola sp. PAMC28395. RNAcentral's name for it is "tRNA-Asn". Lineage: Bacteria; Bacillati; Actinomycetota; Actinomycetes; Micrococcales; Microbacteriaceae. The record is from RNAcentral.
CUGGCUUGUCGGGACCCAAUGGUAGCGAAAGGGACCCCCGCCUGUUCUCUGGGGGUCAAGGGGUCGCAGGUUCAAAUCCUGUCAGCCCGA